Molecule: ribosomal RNA, 373 nt
Filed under: uncultured organism
Description: partial 16S ribosomal RNA
Rfam family: Bacterial small subunit ribosomal RNA
Source: RNAcentral
AGAGGGUGCAAACGUUGCUCGGAUUUACUGGGCGUAAAGCGCGUGUAGGCGGACUCGCAAGUCGGUUGUGAAAUCCCUGGGGCUCAACCUAGGAACUGCAUCCGAAACUGCUUGUCUUGAGUAAUGGAGAGGGUGGCGGAAUUCCCGGUGUAGAGGUGAAAUUCGUAGAUAUCGGGAGGAACAUCAGUGGCGAAGGCGGCCACCUGGACAUUUACUGACGCUGAGACGCGAAAGCGUGGGGAGCAAACAGGAUUAGAUACCCUGGUAGUCCACGCCGUAAACGAUGAGAACUAGGUGCAGCGGAUAUUGACCUCUGCUGUGCCGUAGCUAACGCGUUAAGUUCUCCGCCUGGGGAAAUACGGCCGCAAGGCUA